Molecule: long non-coding RNA, 402 nt
Organism: Solanum stenotomum
Lineage: Eukaryota; Viridiplantae; Streptophyta; Magnoliopsida; Solanales; Solanaceae
Exons: 2
Source: RefSeq, a predicted model, not a curated record
GCUUGUCAUUGAAACAUGAAUAAUUAGCGUAAAAGAAAGCAUAUCCUGCAAUAUAAGCAUCACUCUUAUCGUCAUAUUUGGACCUGAACUCCUCAACUUGUCCUUCAACGACAGGGAAUUUAAGGUCGAAAGUUGUAAGGACGGGCUUGAACCCUUCGUCUGUGGUAUUUUUAGGUUCGUUAAAAGGGGUUGGAGAGACUUCGAGUAGAAGCACGGAUGGCCCGUAGAAAAGUGGAAGAGGGUUUUCUUUAAAGAGCAAGUUAGCUAAGGAGGACUCAGUAGCUUUGUAUAAAUGAGUAUAGUUAUGAUAUUCAUGGAUUUGGUAAAACAAUUGGUAUAUAUGAGACAGAUCAGAUUUCGUAGCAAGACGAACUCGUGUGUAUAUCUUUCCAGUGAUGGUAA